GCUGCUUCUCCCACCGUCUCCAGCUGCUCUAUUCACCAACUCCUCCGGCAUCCGCUCCGGCGCCUCCCAUCUCUCUCCCGCCCAUCCCUUCCCGUCAAAUUCCUUCAAACGCCGCUCCGAAUCCGCCUGAGAUCCAGCUCCUCGGCCGCCAUGGCCACCUCCGCCGCCGCUGCCACCGCCGCUGCCACCGCCGUCACUGCGGCCAAGGACGACGGGACCGCCGCCUCGAAAAGAAAGCAAAUUCUUCAGGUAUUUGAGAAUGAGGAGGAGCUUUCUGCUUCGCUGGCGAAAUACACUGCCGACCUCUCGGAGAAGUUCGCAAGCGAGCGGGGGGCCUUCACCGUCGUCGUCUCCGGUGGAUCUCUCAUAAAAUCUCUCAGGAAAUUAGCGGAAUCCCCGUUUGUCGAUAGCAUUGACUGGUCUAGAUGGCAUGUGUUUUGGGUGGAUGAGAGAGUCGUGCCGAAGGAUCACCCGGAUAGCAAUUACAAGCUCGCAUACGAUGGACUGCUCUCCAAGGUGCCUAUCCCGCCGGGCCAUGUCUAUGCCAUAAAUGAUACUCUAUCUGCUGAGGGUGCUGCAGAUGACUAUGAGACCUGUUUGAAGCAGUUGGUUAAAUCAGGGGUAGUCGCACUUUCGGAAACAACCGGGUUCCCAAAAUUCGAUGUCAUGCUUUUGGGCAUGGGACCCGAUGGCCAUGUAGCUUCUCUUUUCCCAGGGCACCCUCUUCUCAGCGAGCACAAACACUGGGUGACUUUCGUGACGGACUCCCCCAAGCCACCUCCAGAAAGAAUAACCUUCACGUUACCCGUGAUUAACUCAUCAGCUUACGUCGCCCUUGUGGUUACCGGAAGUGGUAAAGCUGGGGUAGUCAGUCAGGCUCUGGGG
RNAcentral lists this unclassified non-coding RNA (885 nucleotides) under Hevea brasiliensis (rubber tree). The record is from RNAcentral. Lineage: Eukaryota; Viridiplantae; Streptophyta; Magnoliopsida; Malpighiales; Euphorbiaceae.